AAUGCGAUUCAAGUGAAAGAAAAAAUUGUGAUGCGCACAUUGCAAUAUAUGUAUACCUACAUAUUCAUUUCUACUUUUUACAACUACAGCUUGCAACCGAAAAAUCUGAAAAAUUCUAUAAUACCUCACGGACAAGUGACAGGGUUGAAAUUUCGCACGGAUGAGUUUUUCUUGCACAGCUAUCGAACGAUAAGUCUGAAGGACCCCGCUUUAUUUCGAGGAGAAACGAAGAAGCGUCGUAUCUACGCAAUGUUUGCAUCAAUUGUAUCUCACAUAUCGGAUACGAAAAUUUUUGAGAGAUUUUUGAUGAAUUUCUUUCGAUGAGGAACGAAGAAGCGACAUCGACUUAUUCGCCGCUGGAAGUUCGCGAAAGAAGCACUCGGACCGGUAAACGGGGUAUAGCCGCGAGGAAACGGCGAAAACCCCUUUGUUCCAUGGACGAAGCAAAACUUAUUGAAUAAGAGUGAAGCGGUGGGAAGCGGGUCGUCGCGUGCCGAUCCAAUGUCAUCGCGCGCGCGUUGUCAGCCGCGAUAUUGGACCGGCAAGAACGUUUCUCGAGCGAUUCCCAUAAUCGUCGAUUUACGACGGCCACGCGUUCCCCCACGGGCCGAUAAACUUGCGAAGCCGAGGACCGAGAGUGUCCCAACCACACACGUCGCUUCUUCUUCUCCUCUGACGAUUCCGCUUGUUCCCCAAUUGCUGCGCGACACGUUGCCGCGCGAUCGAAGUGGAGCAUAAACGAAAUAAGCGCGGCAUGCAAUUGUACUCACCCUAUCACUACUAUCGAGAAAUCUAGAAUGUUCCAUCCGUUCCGGAGAUAAGCACCAGGAUGAGCCACGAAGCCGUAGGCGAUGAUCUUCAUUACGCAUUCGACCGUAAAAAUCACAAGAAAUAUAUACUCUAUUUUUUCCUGAAACACAGUAAUCAGAAAUACGGAGUUAGUCAGAUGUUAUCUAUAAAUUAAUUGCGAACAGAA
Non-coding RNA from Megalopta genalis, 976 nucleotides. The record is from RefSeq and is a predicted model, not a curated record. NCBI's taxonomy places the organism in Eukaryota, Metazoa, Arthropoda, Insecta, Hymenoptera, Halictidae.